Molecule: ribosomal RNA, 515 nt
Filed under: Melanargia syriaca
Lineage: Eukaryota; Metazoa; Arthropoda; Insecta; Lepidoptera; Nymphalidae
Also listed under: 1 other name
Description: partial 16S ribosomal RNA
Source: RNAcentral
GUCUUUUUGAAAUAAUUUAAAGUCUAAUCUGCCCACUGAUAAAAAAUUAAAGGGCUGCAGUAUAAUGACUGUACAAAGGUAGCAUAAUCAAUAGUUUUUUAAUUGAAAACUUGUAUGAAAGAUUUGAUGAAAUAUGGACUGUCUCUAAUUUAUAGAUUGAAUUUUAUUUUUUAGUAAAAAAGCUAAAAUAAAUUUAAAAGACGAGAAGACCCUAUAGAGUUUUAUAUUUAAUUUUAUUUUAAAAUUAUAUAAAAAUUAAUAUUAAAAAUAAAAUUAAAUAUUAUAUUGGGGUGAUAGAAAAAUUAAAUUAACUUUUUUUAAAAAUUAAACAUAAAUAAAUGAUUGUAUGAUCCAUAAAUAAUGAUUAUAAGAAAAAAUUACCUUAGGGAUAACAGCGUAAUAUUUUUUUUUAGUUCAAAUAAAAAAAAAAGUUUGCGACCUCGAUGUUGGAUUAAGAUAAAAUUUAAAUGCAAAAGUUUAAAAAUUUUGAUCUGUUCGAUCAUUAAAAUCUUACA